RNAcentral lists this small nuclear RNA (286 nucleotides) under Oryctolagus cuniculus (rabbit). RNAcentral's name for it is "7SK RNA". It matches the Rfam family "7SK RNA". From Rfam's summary of the family: 7SK was discovered as an abundant small nuclear RNA in the mid-70s but a possible function has only recently been suggested. Two independent studies have found that 7SK RNA binds the CDK9/cyclin T complex (known as elongation factor P-TEFb). Lineage: Eukaryota; Metazoa; Chordata; Mammalia; Lagomorpha; Leporidae. The record is from Rfam by way of RNAcentral.
GGAUGUGAGGGUGAUCUGGCUGCUACAUCUGUCACUCCACUCAUCACCAAGGUCGAUUCAGCUGAUCUAGCUGCCGAGGCGGGUGUCCCCUUCCCGCUCAUCACUCCACGUGUAUCCCUCCCGAAACUACAUGCUUGGUCAAAGAGGACAACCUUCCCUGAUAGAGCAGGACAUGCCUUUGGUUAAGGGACCCAAGAACCUGCGCUCUCCUGCUAGGAACUCCAAACAAGGCCUUGAGAGUACCUGGGUUUGAGUCUCGGCUGUGCUCCACACUGGAGCUUCCGUC